UUAAGUUCAGCGGGUAGUCCUACCUGAUUUGAGAUCAAACAUUUACAAAGCUGUCUUCGCUGAGGAGAGACAUUUAUGAGCCCCAGUGAACCUCCAUCACUGAAGGUUACCUGGCAGGAAACCACAAGCGUAGAUAUUUAUCACACCCGUGAUGCCACCAAACACUGGAAAGCUGAUUCAUUUGAGAGGAGCCGACCGCA
Molecule: unclassified non-coding RNA, 200 nt
Filed under: Tomentella sp.
Lineage: Eukaryota; Fungi; Basidiomycota; Agaricomycetes; Thelephorales; Thelephoraceae
Description: partial internal transcribed spacer 2
Source: RNAcentral